This 2686-nucleotide long non-coding RNA is filed under the name Sarcophilus harrisii (Tasmanian devil). RNAcentral describes it as "lncRNA (ENSSHAG00000021660.1)". Lineage: Eukaryota; Metazoa; Chordata; Mammalia; Dasyuromorphia; Dasyuridae. The record is from RNAcentral.
CUGACAAGCCCAGACCUGCUUCUGUUCUGAAAAAGCAUGUGGCAGAGAUGAAAAGAGAGAAGGAGGCAGUUACAGCAUGAUCUAUGUGGAGUUGGAAUGGAUUUCAUUGGCCAUCUCAUCUAAUCCCCUCAUUGUACAGAUAAGGAAACUGAGCCCAGGGAAGUUAACUGACUUGUUCUAGCAAGAAGCAAGCUUCAGGGGAGGUUUGUGAACCCUAGUUCUCUGAUUUGAGUUAAUGUGAUUUCUCACGUACCAUACUAGGUCCCGAACUCUGAGAUCAAAGAACCCAGAGUUGGUUACAAAGAUCAUCUGGACAUCCCCUUCCUCCAGGAACUUAACCAAUUGCAGGAACUCAUGAAUUUAAGAUUAUUCUGAGAAAGGCACACGGGCUUCAGCAGAUGGCCAAAGAAGGGUCUGUGGCACCCCAAAAGACCCUGCCCUGGGGCCUACAACAAGAUUCCACACAUGAAAAUGGAAGCUGAUGGCCAGGCACCUUCCACUCGGCUAAGGCCGGCUUUCUGCCCCUUGGACGGUGCAAACUCUCAGCUUGCAAUAGAAGACUCAGCAGAGAAUUUCUGAAAGUACUAUCAGUACAUUACAUUGUAAAUCUUCUUCUUCUGCCAGUCCAAGCAAAAUUCUGCCCUAAUCCAUGGAGCACAAUCUUCAGUUCCAAAGGGAAGGAGAAAAAAAGAAGGCAAAGUGGUGUAGUAGAAAGCAGGCCACAGAAGCAGGAAGACUUAGGCACACAGCUCACUUCUGACACAUUGUGGAUGAGUGACCAUAUCUCAGUGCCCCUGGGUAACUUUCUGUUUGUGGAGAAAAAGUUGAUUUACAUUGAGUCUCACCAAAAAGGAGUUUCUUCUAUCAAUGAAAUCACAAAUUCAGUCCUUACUUGACUCAGAAGCAGCUGGUUUAGGGAGCUUUUUGGAGGGAGGGGGCUGUUAAUUUUGCGUGCUCUACUUUUAGAAAUUUGCUCUCAAGUACCUUGUAAAAUAAUGCUUUGAUUUGUACUUGGUUUAUUACAUAGUUUGUUAAUGCUUCUUCACUUUGAGUGGUGCUAUGUUAUUCCAUGAAUAACAUGGAAUAUUUGGGAUAAUCAUGCUUGUUAUUUUAAAGUAAAGAUGUUUAUUUUGAUGGUUAGACUGAAUAAUUAAAUAUUUAAAGGAUUCCCUGGCUAAUUUUACAGGAGACAGCAACAUUUCUGGUUCUGCUAACGAAUGUAGCAUGUUGUGUUAUGAGGCCAAUAGGAGGAAGAUAGGAAACUACCAAGCAGACGCUCUCCCUGAGUUCUCCAGUUGGUGACAUCUUUGGACUUGGCUUUCUAGGACCAUUUGUAGAAGCUUCUGGGAGAAAUGAAGUGAGAAAUGCUAUUCAUAAUACACAGGAAAUAAGUAGGCAGAGAGGGCUAAAUGGAGUUUGCAGGAUCAUUUGCAGAAAUCAAGAUAGGACAGUAUCAGACUUUUAAAAGCCACUGGACUCUGCCCAAGAUACCCAGCCUAACCAUUAGGGUCAUGAUGAUGAGGAUGCUAUUUCAAGAGCCCAUUCUGGCAUACGACACCUGAGAAUGAUAUGGGAAUUCUCAGACAUUUGAGAAUAAAUAAUAUGGGAACCGGAAAACCUGGUGGAUCUGAUAGUGCCAGUCCCAAUUUCUGAUUUCCUUCCCGAGGAGAAGGGGAGUUCUAAGAGAGAAGGGUGUGUUGCAUAAGAACCUUGAUAGUGGCUGCAGGAGUAGCCAACUUGACAGUUACCACAAUGAUAUAACCUGAAUUAGUUAUCAGCUGCAAUAAGGACAAAUCUCUUUCCCUGAGAUGGAGAAAAGAGAUCAAUAUAAUCGAUUUGCCUAUUGGAGGCAAAAUGAAAACUCUGUGGGAUUAACCAUCUUGGUCUUUUUGAGGUGAGAAUUCCAAUUAGCACCAUGGGAUAGAAGUAGCUGCCUAUUCCUUAGUUAAGGGGAUCAAUGUGUUCCAGACCCCAUAUUCACAUUGACAAAGGACAAACUCUGAUCUUCGGUGCCAUCCUAAGCAUCAAUCCGGGUUGCUCAGUUCCAGAGGGUAAGGUAAGUCUGAUGGGCGCUGACAUACACCAAACAGCUCUAUAAAGGGCAGGUAUAAAUAACAUUAAUCUAGCAGACUGAUUACAGAAAAAACCUAGGAUUUACAUGAACUGAUGCUGAAUGAAGUGAGCAGAACCAAUACAAAGUAACAAUAAGAUUGUGUAAUGAUCAACUAUGAUAGACAUAGCUCUUCUCAGCAAUACAGUGAUGCAAGACAAUUCCAACAUUUCAAAAUCCAACAAUUCCAACAAAAAACCAAAUGGUGAGCUCAGUUUUUAAAAGCACCAUUUCCAUAACAAUAAAUCUUCUGUGCUCUGCUCAUCUUGCUAAAGGUACCAUCUUGCAUCAUUCAACUCAUAAUGGGCAACUUUGGAUGGAAAGUGCUCCUUCUGCUUUAAUUUUUACUUUUUAAAAAUAUUGAUCUUUUUCUUUGGGAUCAGGUCUUGUUCUACAAAUUAUAAUUAUAAAAACUAUAAUUUUGCAACAAUCUUUAAGUGUUUUGUAGUAGUUAUUUCUAUUGUUGUAAUCAUUAGGUUUAUUUCCCCCCCUACACUGUGACUUCAUUUUGCAUCAGUUCAUUUAAGUCUUUUCAUAUUUCUCAGUUAACAGAUUUAUCAUUUUUUACAGAACAGC